UCCGAGUGAAUGGGAGUGGGUGGCUGAAAGGGGGGGAGUAGAGUAGUUGGAGUGGCUCCACAUCAGCUAAUGGGAGUGGGCGUUGUAUCGACCCACUUCCCAGGCCAUUGCGAUGCCGAUUGGCUCUGGGGCGAAACACGCUCUCACACACUUGAUAGCAGCCAGUUAGCGUGCUAAGUGUUUUUUCUCGGCAAAUUGUAUUUCGACAAAGCGGGGCAAUUAAAAACGAACAUUUCUGCCGAUAAGUAGGUGCCCAUGGGA
This is a long non-coding RNA of Drosophila santomea, 261 nucleotides long. RefSeq lists it as uncharacterized. The transcript is spliced from 2 exons. Lineage: Eukaryota; Metazoa; Arthropoda; Insecta; Diptera; Drosophilidae. The record is from RefSeq and is a predicted model, not a curated record.